RNAcentral lists this microRNA precursor (120 nucleotides) under Vicugna pacos (alpaca). Lineage: Eukaryota; Metazoa; Chordata; Mammalia; Artiodactyla; Camelidae. The record is from RNAcentral.
GGAAGAAAGGCGGGGUCAGUGUCACUUCCUGGUAUCCGUGGAUGCGGUCGACCAUGGUGUGCACGCUUUAUUUGCGACGUAGGACACAUGGUCUACUUCUUCUCGAUAUCACAUCUCACC